Molecule: ribosomal RNA, 274 nt
Filed under: uncultured bacterium
Lineage: Bacteria
Description: partial 16S ribosomal RNA
Rfam family: Bacterial small subunit ribosomal RNA
Source: RNAcentral
AUACGAAAGGUGCAAGCGUUGUUCGGAUUUACUGGGCGUAAAGAGAGUGUAGGUUGUUUAUUAAGUCGGAUGUGAAAUCCCGGGGCUCAACCUCGGAACUGCAUUCGAUACUGGUAGACUAGAGUUCGAGAGGGGUAAGCGGAAUUCCGUGUGUAGCAGUGAAAUGCGUAGAUAUACGGAGGAACACCUGAGGCGAAGGCGGCUUACUGGACCGAUACUGACACUGAGACUCGAAAGCGUGGGUAGCAAACAGAAUUAGAAACCCUUGUAGUCC